AGCCAAGCGGUAAGGCAAGGGACUUUGACUCCCUCAUGCGUUGGUUCGAAUCCAGAGAUC
RNAcentral lists this transfer RNA (60 nucleotides) under Staphylococcus aureus. RNAcentral describes it as "tRNA-Gln". It matches the Rfam family "tRNA", at positions 9 to 63 of the family's 71-position model. From Rfam's summary of the family: Transfer RNA (tRNA) molecules are approximately 80 nucleotides in length. Their secondary structure includes four short double-helical elements and three loops (D, anti-codon, and T loops). Further hydrogen bonds mediate the characteristic L-shaped molecular structure. tRNAs have two regions of fundamental functional importance: the anti-codon, which is responsible for specific mRNA codon recognition, and the 3' end, to which the tRNAs corresponding amino acid is attached (by aminoacyl-tRNA synthetases). tRNAs cope with the degeneracy of the genetic code in two manners: having more than one tRNA (with a specific anti-codon) for a particular amino acid; and 'wobble' base-pairing, i.e. permitting non-standard base-pairing at the 3rd anti-codon position. The record is from RNAcentral. Lineage: Bacteria; Bacillati; Bacillota; Bacilli; Caryophanales; Staphylococcaceae.